RNAcentral lists this ribosomal RNA (561 nucleotides) under uncultured bacterium. RNAcentral's name for it is "bacterial SSU rRNA". It matches the Rfam family "Bacterial small subunit ribosomal RNA", at positions 338 to 916 of the family's 1533-position model. The record is from RNAcentral.
CCUACGGGAGGCAGCAGUGGGGAAUAUUGGACAAUGGGCGAAAGCCUGAUCCAGCAAUGCCGCGUGAGUGAUGAAGGCCUUAGGGUCGUAAAGCUCUUUUACCCGGGAUGAUAAUGACAGUACCGGGAGAAUAAGCCCCGGCUAACUCCGUGCCAGCAGCCGCGGUAAUACGGAGGGGGCUAGCGUUGUUCGGAAUUACUGGGCGUAAAGCGUACGUAGGCGGUUAUUCAAGUCAGAGGUGAAAGCCCGGGGCUCAACCCCGGAACGGCCUUUGAAACUAGAUAGCUAGAGUCUUGGAGAGGUCAGUGGAAUUCCGAGUGUAGAGGUGAAAUUCGUAGAUAUUCGGAAGAACACCAGUGGCGAAGGCGACUGACUGGACAAGUACUGACGCUGAGGUACGAAAGCGUGGGGAGCAAACAGGAUUAGAUACCCUGGUAGUCCACGCCGUAAACGAUGAUAACUAGCUGUCCGGGUACUUGGUAUCUGGGUGGCGCAGCUAACGCAUUAAGUUAUCCGCCUGGGGAGUACGGUCGCAAGAUUAAAACUCAAAUGAAUUGACGG